Molecule: long non-coding RNA, 1721 nt
Organism: Peromyscus leucopus (white-footed mouse)
Lineage: Eukaryota; Metazoa; Chordata; Mammalia; Rodentia; Cricetidae
Exons: 4
Source: RefSeq, a predicted model, not a curated record
GAAACUUAUGAGGUAAGAGCAAAGAUUAACUUCCUCUUGUGAGCACAAAUGGAUGGAUGAUGUAGCUGGGGACAUGCUGCUCACUGACAGACUGCUGCUUGAAUUUGUAAUGUUUGGUGCUGUGAACUAAAUGGAUUGAUGCCCACAUUUGAAUGUGUGCAAGUCCUACUGCCAAAUGUGAUGAUAAUAGAAUGCUAGCUAUGGAAUGCAAUUAUGUCAUAAAGAUGGAAACCUCAUGAACAUGAUUACUGUCCUGACAAAAUAGACACUUGUUGUAGAACAUUAUUUUAAGGAGUGUUACUUUUGUUUAUUUGCAUUUGUUUAACUCUGUGAAGCUGUGUUACUGUACCAGUCUUUUUAAAACACAAGAUGGUUUAAUAAUGAUCUGAGCCACCAAUAGCAAGGGAGAAAUCUUGGAAAAGGAGAAAAGGAAGCAACCAGACAAGGAAGAGGACAUUGGUACCAGUCACUUAGCGACACAGCAAGUCAAAGAAAAUUUACCUUAAGUCACAAAAUCCAAAGGCUUGCUUGAAGACUGGUCUCCUAGAUGACUUCAGACCCUGACAAGCUGGCAAUUAACACUAUCACAGAAGUGAUACCUUAAGUCCAUUUUAACUCUCCUAUACUUUGGACUGAUGAAGAGUCUGUUUCCAUUCUACAAAAUUGACUGAAAAUAUAGAAACACUCCAGGUAUCCUCUUAACCAACUCAGACUGUGAAACAUGACUGAUUAUGUCAUAAUUUCCUGACAUACAAUACUCAAAGCAUAAUAUUUCCCUAAAGUAAUAUCAGAUCAAGUUGCCGAAUUCAGUGGUUUUCUCUAGGCCUGCAUAAGAACAGAAAGAAAUGUACCCCCCAUUUGCAGUGAUUUGAGGGCGUUUUGUAUCCUGUCAUGCAGUUGUUUCACUCUGGAAACCCCACAGAUUCUUAACUUCUGAGCGAUGUCAAAUGCCAGGAACAACAGAGAACUGCUGGUUAUCACAGCUUAUCCAUCUCUCUGGUAGCACUUCUAUUACUCACUGUCCAUCCCGUACCAAGGAAAUUGAUGGUACAUCUCCAGGAAAUGAUAGGUCAAACACAACAUCUCAGUAUAUAACCCAAAGCGACCCUAUCCUUUUUAUAUAAUUUAUAAACGUGUUUUUAUCCAUACCUCGUAUCACCAUCAGGAAAAUGCAACAAAAUCAGAAAAAAAAAUAUGACAGAUGGGUGUAACAAAAGGCCAGACAAUUAUGAGAUGGAUGGAACAUUGGACUAAAUGUGCUUCGGUUGGCCUCCUGUCUUUUUGUCUUUAGGCUGCAACUUUUCUCCCAUCAGGUGGGAUACAUGUGUAGACAGCAGAUAGCCUAGGAAAUUAAAAAAUCAAUGGGUUCUGCCCCAGCAUCCAUAAAACUCUGACCAAAUCAUUUCCAAGAGUGGGGCCCAUAUGUCUUAUCAAAUUUCUUGAGCAAACUAAUAUACCUCAGGAAGUCUCCAUAGUUUACCACCCCCGUGUAAUGCUCCACAUGAAUUUUCUAAAUUACCUUGACUUCAAGAGAAAUAUCCCCUUUUAAAAUAUUGUUAGCAUGUUCUUUAGGUGGACUGGGUACUAUCCAAGUGGGCACAUCAAUCCAUCAGUUUAAAAAAAUAGGAACUAAUGUAAUUUCUCAUUUUAAUUUUCUUUCGUGUCCUAAUUCAGACCAAGGAACUCAUUUUACAACAGAAAUAAACAAUUUACUUGCAAAA